RNAcentral lists this long non-coding RNA (1219 nucleotides) under Equus caballus (horse). RNAcentral's name for it is "lncRNA (ENSECAG00000054515.1)". The record is from RNAcentral. Lineage: Eukaryota; Metazoa; Chordata; Mammalia; Perissodactyla; Equidae.
UUUUUAAUUUUAUUAGGUUUUUAAUCAGGUUCCAUUAUGAAGUGCUUUAAACAGGGUUAGAAUCUAACCUUUCAGAAAGGCACAAACAGGGAGAAUGCUGCCUGGUCUACCCGGUUUAAGAAAUCAGAGUGGAAGCCUCUGAGAAUGGAGAGGGUUUUGCUCAGUCCUUUGGAGAAAGCCUUGGGGAGAGGGUUUUGCUCAGUCCUUUGGAGAAAGCCUUGGGGACUUCCAUCUUCAGCUUUGUCCCUUUCCUCUGGCUCCUCAGCAGCAUGGAGCAGUGGCUCAGGGCACACACUCUGGGGCCUGACUGCCUGGGUUUGAAUAGUGGUGCCACCAAUGACGAACAGUAUGGACGGUGUGGUCUUGGUACUUACCCGACGGGGGGGUACGUGAACUGCCCAUUAUGAGGAAAUGGAGGUACCAAGCAAAUGGCUACACAAAGUGCUCAGAGCAGCGCCUGCCACACUGUUUCUACUCUCUAAGUGCUUGCUGACCAUUAUGAUGCCACUGAAAGGAAACAAAGACCAGGGCUCCAAUGAGCAAGAGAGAGUGAGCUUGACUCUGAAGGCCACUCACUGCUCAGGAGGGGCUCAUCCAGUCAUUGGACAAACAUAUUGAACUAUUUUAUGCCAGACACUGAGCUAGGUUGGGGUGCAGUAGUGAAUGAGUGUCCGUGCCCUCAAGGAGCAUAUGGCCAGUGGGGAAGACACACAUUUAGCACAGAUUCCCACUAAUGAAUGCAUAAUGGCAAAAUGAGAUGAACGCUCUGAAGGUGCAGAACUCAGCUUGCUCAGUGCACCUAACAUUACCUGAUGUGACUUUCUAGGUCAGGGGAGUUGGCUGGCAGGAAGCUGUGCUCUGUCUGAAACCUAGAGGACAGCCUUUGCCAGUCUUCAUGUCCCCUGGGGUCACGGUUGGAUAUAGUGGCUCCAAAGAGCCUUGGACCUUGGACACAAGCUUAUCUGUGCGUUGGUGCUUCUCUGGGAAGGAGGUCUAUUGCCUUCAACAAAAUCCUCAAAGGGAAACACAACCUUCCACAGCUUGUGGAUCUCUGCCCUGGGAGAUGUCAUGGUAACCAAAUAUUUUUAAGGAACCACACAAAAUGAAGGAAAACCUUGCUUUAAAGGGACCCAAUACCUGAAAGCCUCUAUUUAUACAAAAACCACCUAAGGAGUGACUUCUUCAAGCGAUCUAGGAUUCUAUCAAAAGAGCGAGUUUC